AAGUCGAGCGAACGGACGAGAAGCUUGCUUCUCUGAUGUUAGCGGCGGACGGGUGAGUAACACGUGGAUAACCUACCUAUAAGACUGGGAUAACUUCGGGAAACCGGAGCUAAUACCGGAUAAUAUUUUGAACCGCAUGGUUCAAAAGUGAAAGACGGUCUUGCUGUCACUUAUAGAUGGAUCCGCGCUGCAUUAGCUAGUUGGUAAGGUAACGGCUUACCAAGGCGACGAUACAUAGCCGACCUGAGAGGGUGAUCGGCCACACUGGGACUGAGACACGGCCCAGACUCCUACGGGAGGCAGCAGUAGGGAAUCUUCGGCAAUGGGGGCAACCCUGACCGAGCAACGCCGCGUGAGUGAAGAAGGUUUUCGGAUCGUAAAGCUCUGUUGUUAGAGAAGAAUGAUGGUGGGAGUGGAAAAUCCACCAAGUGACGGUAACUAACCAGAAAGGGACGGCUAACUACGUGCCAGCAGCCGCGGUAAUACGUAGGUCCCGAGCGUUGUCCGGAUUUAUUGGGCGUAAAGCGAGCGCAGGCGGUUUUUUAAGUCUGAAGUUAAAGGCAUUGGCUCAACCAAUGUACGCUUUGGAAACUGGAGAACUUGAGUGCAGAAGGGGAGAGUGGAAUUCCAUGUGUAGCGGUGAAAUGCGUAGAUAUAUGGAGGAACACCGGUGGCGAAAGCG
This 682-nucleotide ribosomal RNA is filed under the name uncultured Streptococcaceae bacterium. RNAcentral's name for it is "bacterial SSU rRNA". It matches the Rfam family "Bacterial small subunit ribosomal RNA", at positions 59 to 723 of the family's 1533-position model. Lineage: Bacteria; Bacillati; Bacillota; Bacilli; Lactobacillales; Streptococcaceae. The record is from RNAcentral.